This is a non-coding RNA of Parasteatoda tepidariorum (common house spider), 620 nucleotides long. Lineage: Eukaryota; Metazoa; Arthropoda; Arachnida; Araneae; Theridiidae. The record is from RefSeq and is a predicted model, not a curated record.
UGCUAUUCAGGAAUAUAUAGUGUCUAGAAUUCUCUCUUAUUUUAUAGGUUCUUUUGUUGAUACUAAUGUUGGAACAGCAGUUAGUGAUCCUUUCAGUGGAGACCCUUUCGAAAAUGCUUUUAAUGUAACUGCAUCACAAUAAAAAAAAAAAAGAUCGUUUUGAUCCGUUUAGAUUAUCUCAAGCAAAUUCUAAUCAAGCUCCUUCUAUGGACAUGUAUUUAUGAAGAGGAAGAUUUAUGGAAAAGUGUUUUGUUUUGCAUCAUAGUUCUGGAUCUUAAGAGACUUGGAAAAGUGAUUGUUAAAAUCGACAAGUCGCAAAACUAUUUAGAAGAUGAUGGUAUGUUAUAAGUGAACGUACGCCACAAUCCUCGUGUUCGUUACAGACUCCAACGUACUCUAAAUAUUCACCUACGCAUUAUUUCUAUAUAUAUGCAAGAAUAAUUUUAUUAAAAAUCUUCAAGAAACUGAAAGGGUCGUCGCAUGUUAGAUGUUGAACAAUUCACGUCUCCGGGGAGGUUUGAGUGAGAAAGUUCCAUUGAAAGAAGAUUAUUUUCGAAGAAGUAAACGAGAACUGUAAAGGCAGGCAAGUUAACUUAUUAAAAUGAUUACUAUACUUUAAA